Long non-coding RNA from Ctenopharyngodon idella (grass carp), 2365 nucleotides. RefSeq lists it as uncharacterized. The record is from RefSeq and is a predicted model, not a curated record. The transcript has 3 exons. NCBI's taxonomy places the organism in Eukaryota, Metazoa, Chordata, Actinopteri, Cypriniformes, Xenocyprididae.
CCUUUAGUGUGAAAAACAUAAAGAUCAGUCACAAUUAGGGCUGUCGAUUUAAUCCAUUAAUUUAAUUAAUUAGCUUUAAAUGAAUUAAAUUAAUAAUUUAAUGCACCCGCCCCAGACCUACGUAUGUCAUCUUACAUUUCAUAUAGUUGAUUGGUGACAAACAUGAUGCAGGGCAACAACUCACUGUGUGAUGUAGCCUAUAGAAUGCAGUUAUAUGAUCCCCCCCAGUUUAUGUCACAUAUAUUGGCCUAUGUGAUAUGAUAUCAUUAAGCAAUAGCAGGAGUGCAAUUGAUAUUUUUAUACAACAGUUCAAUAAGAAGUUAAUGUUGUGAUAUAUUUUACAUGCAAUAUUUCUGUUAUUGUUCAUAUUUUCCAACAAAAAUAUUAGCUAUAAAGCCAGCGCAGAACUGUUGUGCAUCUCUGAGCAACAUACAUCAGUGUUUCAUCUCUAAAUGAAUCCGCGUUUUGAGCGAAUCAAUCAGGUGAACCAACGAUUCAAUGGCCCAUUCAUAAAGAGAGCCAUUAGGUGUGGGCCAUUAGAAUCAGCACUGCGCAGACCGAUUGGUGUAUGAAAAGUACCGCAAGAGCAAUUAUAGAGCAGAUCGUAUGCUUUCGAAUUGCUCUUGUGGUACUUUGAUGUCGUACAAUGAUUGGUCUGCGCAGCGCUUCAAGUCAAACACACUUUCAUUCCUAAAUUAAUUUCAUUUCUGAAUUCAAACCUGUAUGACUUUCUUUGUUUUGCGGAACAUAAAAGAAGAUAUUUUGAAGAAUGUUGGUAACCACACUGUCAGAAAAAAGGGUACGGCUGGGGUACAAUUGUGAGCACUCUGGGUACAAAUGCUUUGGUUGUACCCUCAAUGGGAACACCUUAAGGAACUAAUAUGUACCAUUUUGGGGGAAAUAAGGUACAUAUUUGUUUCUAACGGUCAAAGGGUCCAUGUUUGUACCAUUUAAUCAACAAACAAAGGUACAAUCAAAGGUACAAUCACUUGUGUGACUGAAAGGUUGACGGGGUGGGUGGUUCAAGACUCCCAAACCAUGCAAGUGCAUUAAAUUCGUGCACCUGAGCAUUAUUUCAAGCUAGACAAAUGUUUAUAUACUCAUCUUUUUAAGCAAGAAACAACGUGGGCGAUUUUUAAAAAAAAUAAUUAUUUCACAGUCAGUCAGCCUCUCAAAUUCAAAUGUAGCCCGCGCGAGCAGCACAGAUGACGGUUAACCGAUUGGACUGCCCAAUGGUUUCUCAGAUCAGACACUGACGACGGAUCUUCUGCUAAAGAUGAGAGAAGCUGGGAUAUAAUUAACCGAAGACGAAGAAUCACAGAAAUUGAGAGGUAUGUAAUUCUUGUUAAAUCCGCUGUUAUUUAUAUUUGUAUGAAACACCCCGCGAUAUAUUUUGUGUAUUUGCCCAACUUUGUCGUGUCCUCCCGCCAAAAAAUACGUGACUUGGUAAUAAAACCAACAUAUUGUUUGCCUGUUUUAGAUUGUUAAUGUUAUUAGAGCAGAACUGUUUGAGGUUAUCUUAUAGUUUUAACCUAUAGGCCUAACUCUAGCUAUUCUUCCGUCUUAACGCGCCGCUCGACCGUAUAGAAGUCAGUCAGACUCGACUGAACGAAAGGUGUUCAUCUAUAAUAUAUUUACUUAGGACAAAAAAGGGUAAAAACCAGCGCUUUUCUUUGCGAACCGGCCCUUAUUUUAACGACACUUGAAUCUCGACUGUGAAACAGACUUAUAAAAUCAGACUUUUCAACUAAUCUGACCGUGUUUAUCCGGUACGCGAGAGCUGCGUCGCGCGUACAUUUCACGGACGCAGGGGUUGUACUUUUAACACGUCUCCUCGUAAUCUGUUUGAAAUUGAUUUUUUUAUUUGUAUUUUUAUUAAGUGAUAGAUACAACGUCAUUUUAAUGUUGAUGAGAUCUAGCCUCGAAUGCACGUUGAUCUGUCCUUGACUACUUUCAGACUAUGAGGUGGAUAAGGAUGAAGAGAAAAUGAUCAAACCGGAUCAACUUUAAGCGACACGGUGGUGUAAACUAUAGAAGCAGCCUUUGACUACAGAAAUGUAAGUAUAAAAUUAAUUUUUUUUUUUUUUUUUACUUAAUAUGUACAUUAGUAACAAUAUGAAUAUGUCACUGCCUGUUGUUGUUGUCAUUUCCCAUUUCACAGAGAUCUUCAGACCAGACUCCACAAAGAAACAUGUCAGAAAUCCUCCUAGGUUACAAUAUACCCUUUCCAUAAGGAUCUGGAAGAUGGCAAUUCCCUCAGACAUAAACUCAGUGGAGCUUGCACCUCUGGUUCUUGAAGAUGAGGUCAGGAAGAGCAAGGAUAGUGAGGCUGUCUGAAGAAACUCCAGGAGCCUGUCACAGGUGU